CCUACGGGAGGCAGCAGUGGGGAAUAUUGCACAAUGGCGGAAACCCUGAUGCAGCGACGCCGCGUGAGUGAGGAAGUAUUUCGGUAUGUAAAGCUCUAUCAGCAGGGAAGAAAAUGACGGUACCUGACUAAGAAUCCCCGUCUCACGACGUUCCAGCAGCCGUGGUUAUACGCAGGGGGCAAGCGUUAUCCGGAUUUACUGGGUGUAAAGGGAGCGUAGACGGGUAAUCAAGUCAGAAGUGAAAACCCUGGGCUCAACCUUAGGAGUGCUUUUGAAACUGAGUAGCUAGAGUGCAGGAGAGGUAGGCGGAAUGCCUGGUGUAGCGGUGAAAUGCGUAGAUAUUAGGAAGAACACCAGUGGCGAAGGCAGCUUACUGGACUGUAACUGACGUUGAGGCUCGAAAGCGUGGGGAGCAAACAGGAUUAGAUACCCCGGUAGUC
This 440-nucleotide ribosomal RNA is filed under the name uncultured bacterium. RNAcentral's name for it is "partial 16S ribosomal RNA". It matches the Rfam family "Bacterial small subunit ribosomal RNA", at positions 338 to 795 of the family's 1533-position model. The record is from RNAcentral.